Molecule: long non-coding RNA, 749 nt
Organism: Cyprinus carpio carpio
Lineage: Eukaryota; Metazoa; Chordata; Actinopteri; Cypriniformes; Cyprinidae
Source: Ensembl
UUUUUAAGGAAAGCAGGGGUUUUAGGCAGGAUUUGAUGCAUAAGGUGUGUGUAGAUAUUAAUGGUAGGGGACAAUGUGAGUGAUGCGUACCUUUAGUAGGAAAACCUAUUAUCUGAUCCACACUCCGGGACAGAAGAGGGCGGUAUUGCACCAAUAAGCUGGAUGCCAACCGCCGUUAAACUGGAAAGAAGUUACAAUGAGUUACAAUGGAACAGAUUAUGUUUAUCUGCUGUAGAGUGACUGAUGAAGGAAUGCUGCCAUCAAAGCAUUUGUAUCUUCUGUGGUGGAGCAGGACCUGCAAGGAAAGGGGAAAAAAAGGAAAAACCUGAAACAAAAGAAUAAAGUAGUGGUGCUCAUGGAGAUUAGCACACGAUUGUUUGGAGCAGACACAGCAGCAGUCAGAUUGUCCUGCAUGUGUUCUUCUGCUCUCGCUUCAAGGUAGUGUGGUUCAGAGAGCCGUCAUCAAGGUCUUCCUCAUCCUGUUGCUCAACGACAUCCCCGUUGAGAAGAGUGAGAUUGUGAAGCACAGCGCAGCAGCAGAACUGUCUCAGCUGUGUUGAGAUGAUAGUAAGAUGUGGGGUUCACCGUCUGUAAAUACAUGAUUGUUAGAACAGUUAGUUUGAAAGAAGCUUUGUUUCAUGUGUUGUUGACUUGUACAUGUCUGUAUUUAUUGUGAUGCUAACAUUUAUACAUUCUUUUAAUCAUUUAGACAUGUUUCUUGUUGUCAGUAAAUAAAAUAUAAAUAUUUG